ACAUCAAAUUCUGCUUUCAAAAUGCACAUGCCUUCAAACAGGGAAUGAGGGUUUUGUUCUCAUCUCUCAACGGUACUCAAAUCAGCCCUCAACGGUACUCAAUCCAUAACCUUGCGAUGAGAUCAGAUCAACGAUUGGCAGGGAAUGGUGUAAUGUUACCGUUGAAAAAAGCACCUGUCACCUCUUCUAUAUAUGGGCAAUUUAUUCGAGAAACAGAGCAGAUUGUUUCCUAUUCUGUUCUUUUUGUUUGUUUUGUUUGUCUUUCGUUUCAUGUUUAUGGCAUGGCCAUGCCUCCUAUGUUUUUCAUUUUUCCUGUGCUUGGAUUUUUCUUUUCUCAGUUUUCAUGGUAGUUUGUAUAUUUCUUUUUUUCCUUGGAUGGUGAUUGGAGGAGGGCAACAAUGAGGAGAAGUAUACAUCCUAGGGAGCGGCUGGUUGGAGUUACAGCGAAGAAAAGACUAUUUGCAGGUUGAGCAUCUAAACUAAAUCAUGACCAAAUGUGGUUUUCAGAAUAAAGAUUGCAGAGUGAAGGUGCAUAUUGCAGGCUAUGGUAUCUGAUGUCAGGAGGCUAUGGUAUCUGAUGUCAGGGCUUUUUUUUCAGCUUGCAUGAAUGCAAAAUUUUGAUUGGACAUUUUACUUUCUUGAAUGACUUAAUAUGCCUGCAAAAUCUGUAAUAGAGAGGCCUAUCAUUGUAACACUUACAGGCUGUAAUCUCAGAUUCCCCAUAUCUGACCUUAAAGUCUUUUGUCUUUGGUCUGAGGAAUGGGCUUGAGUUGCACAAAUACAACCCCUUGAUAAGUGAGGCCUUAAUCUUUGAGCUUUACCAAGAUCUAGUUUUAAGCUGUCCCUGGUCCUUGGUGAAGGCCUCAAGAAAGACAUCCCAGUCCUUUUCCUUUGCCCUCAGGUAUGAAUGAUCUCAAGUAAGGGUUACACAAGCUUUUACUUUGUGUGUACAAUACACACAAGUAAGAAUAAGCCCGGAUCAGCAUACUUACCUUUAAUGAUGUGUACAAGUACACACAAGUAAGAAUCAGCAUACUUACCUUUAAUGAUGUGUAUCCAAUCUACUGAUCUAAGAAUUUAUCCUAUUUAACAACCUUGUAAAUACCUUUUCUGGCAUUAUGGUUAUAAAUCCCAAAUAUGUCCUAAACGCAUGAAUGAUUUGUAUUUUCUUGUAUACAAAUUUAGGUAUCUUGAUAUGUUUGUCCUCAAAAAGUGCUAAAAAUCCUCAGUUUUGCAUUUCAAUUCGUGGCAACUUCUGAUCUGAUCAUGCUGAUAACAAAUUUUAGGUAUUAUGGUAUAUUUGUCCUCGAAAACUGCUAAAAAUCUUCAGUUUUUGCAUGUCGUUCAAAAUUAUGGUACAUGAAUCCAAUUAGUAAUUCAGGACUGCAUUUUAUCAAAUACGGACAUAAUAUAUGUUGUAAGAAAGCUCUGAAAGCACAUUUUCUAAUGGUUCAACUCCUUGUGCUGUGAAUGAGCUUUGGACUUAAUGUUAACCAGACUUUUUCUAAUUAAACAUUUCAUUGUCUGGUGAAAUUAAAGAAACAAAAAAUCAAGCUCCAUUAAUAGAUUAUGCAGGGAGGAGUAAGGAGAAAAGGUUAUGGGCUACAAAUCAAAUGUACAUCGAGUGUUGCUUGCAAUGUAACCUGGUCGUAUAGCCUAGUUGGAGGUUGCUUAGAGCUAUUAGCUCAAACUCAACAUUAUUUGUUCGUAUGUCUUCUGCAAAUAUUGAGAAUGUGGCCUUUGAAUAUGUAGUGCAUGUGCAAGAUUGUUUUUUAACAUUUGUGUGUCAAGUGCUUCCAAUUAAAGAAAAUUGUCAAGUGCUUCCAAUAAAACAAAUUGAAGUUUUUGCAGGAAAUAAAACUGAAAUGAACUACUACGAUGAUUCUGCAAGAAAGUACGUGUGCAAGAUGUUUUUAACAUGGACAUAAAGUUGUUUUAAAUUUUUAAAAUUAGAAAUGUAUGUGUUUAUGACCAUUUCUUUGUAUUGCAAUUGAGGGAGUUAACAAGAGGUUCAAAUAUUGCUGCAACCAACAACCAUAAAAAUCACACAUUAAAGUAUGAAUAAAAAUGGUAACUUGUGUGAUGGACAAAUUGCUUCUUUUUUUAUAUUUCAAUGUCCUGAUUUUUUUAUGCUUUGAGAUGUAUAUAAGGGUAAUUGUUGUGUACAAAAUUGACCUAAGCACAAAGCAAGUUGAGAUGUAUAUAAGGUAUUUGCUAGAUCAUCCCCUAGUCCUUCAAAUGCACGUACUUGAUGUAUGUUGUGGAGCUGGCAAUUGCUCCCAUUCAGCCCUUUGGUCCUUUAGAUGCAUGUACUCACAUUUUUCAAAUCCAUGGUGUAUUAGAUUUAUAUGCUAUUAAUUUUUUCA
Cryptomeria japonica (Japanese cedar) is the source of this 2366-nucleotide long non-coding RNA. RefSeq lists it as uncharacterized. The record is from RefSeq and is a predicted model, not a curated record. The transcript has 3 exons. Lineage: Eukaryota; Viridiplantae; Streptophyta; Pinopsida; Cupressales; Cupressaceae.